Molecule: ribosomal RNA, 253 nt
Filed under: uncultured bacterium
Lineage: Bacteria
Description: partial 16S ribosomal RNA
Rfam family: Bacterial small subunit ribosomal RNA
Source: RNAcentral
UACGAAGGGGGCUAGCGUUGCUCGGAAUCACUGGGCGUAAAGGGUGCGUAGGCGGGUCUUUAAGUCAGGGGUGAAAUCCUGGAGCUCAACUCCAGAACUGCCUUUGAUACUGAGGAUCUUGAGUUCGGGAGAGGUGAGUGGAACUGCGAGUGUAGAGGUGAAAUUCGUAGAUAUUCGCAAGAACAUCAGUUGCGAAGGCGGCUCUCUGGACCAGCACUGACACUGAGGCACGAAAGCAUGGGGAGCGAACAGG